Molecule: ribosomal RNA, 497 nt
Filed under: uncultured bacterium
Lineage: Bacteria
Description: partial 16S ribosomal RNA
Rfam family: Bacterial small subunit ribosomal RNA
Source: RNAcentral
GAUGAACGCUGGCGGCGUGCCUAAUACAUGCAAGUCGAGCGAACAGACGAGGCGCUUGCUCCUUUGACGUUAGCGGCGGACGGGUGAGUAACACGUAUGUAACCUACCUAUAAGACUGGGAUAACUUGGGGAAACCGGAUCUAAUACCGUAUAAUAUUUCGAAGCGCAUGGUUCGAUAGUGAAAUAUGGCGUUGCUAUCACUUAUAGCUGGACCUCCGCCGUAUUAGCUAGUUGUUAAGGUAACGGCUUACGAAGGGAACUAUUGGUAUACGACGUGCGUGACUGAUAGCCCACACGGGAACUGAGACACGGUCAAGAGUACUGAGGGAGGCCGCAGACGGGAACCGGACGCAAUGGGGGGAAACCUGGCGGAGCAGCGCCGAGUGAGUGAUGAAGGCCUUCGGAGCGUAAAACCCUGUUAUUAGGGAAGAACAAACGUGUACGUAACUGUGCACGUAUUGACGGUACCUAAUCAGAAAGCCCCGGCUAACUACGUG